AUAUGCUUCUAGAGACAAACACUUCUCCCUGAAGCUUAGGGGCUUGGCCCUGGCACCUCUGCCCCCUCGGCGAAGCUCGUGGGAGCCUGCACCCUCUCUCCAGGGGCUGCCCCGUUUCCCCCGGCCGGGUCGGCCCUCUCUCUGAACUGCUGCCUGUGUCUGCCCCUCCCUGCACACUGACGACUUUUGCUUAGUGUGGUAGCGUGUCCCAGUGUGUGCUGUUCUGCCUAACCCUGUGGUCUUGUGUCGUUUCUUUUUCCCUUGCAGGGUCUGCCCUGAAGCGUCUCUGCCUAGGCAAAGAACACAGCAGUAGGUCCUCCACCAGCAGCCUGGCCCCAGGCCCUGAGCCAGGCCCCCAGCCCGCCCUGCACGUCCAGGCGCAGGUGAACAACAGCAACAACAAGAAGGGUACCUUCACGGACGACCUGCACAAGCUGGUGGACGAGUGGACGAGCAAGACGGUGGGGGCCGCGCAGCUGAAGCCCACGCUCAACCAGCUGAAGCAGACCCAGAAGCUGCAAGACAUGGAGGCCCAGGCAGGCUGGGCUGCCCCUGGCGAGGCGCGGGCUCCCCAAGAACUAGGCUUCUCCACUUUACAGAUUGGGAGGUGAGCGACGCGCCCACAGCUCCGCAGCUGGCAGGUGGAAAGGACAGGCCAGGCCAGGCCGGGGCUGUGACUCCACAGCUCAGAUACAGCAGCUGCCCCAGCCUGGGCAGCCCAAGCCCCGCACUCAGAGCAGGUAGCCCUGGUCUUGGCAGACAGGCCCACCUCUGCCUGGGUUCUGUUUGUGCCCAGGCUGGAGACCAGGGCAGGUGUGCAUGUCACCCAAGUGACACCAGCGUCGGGCCAUAGUUCACACGCACCUGAGCCAAUGUGGGGUGGAAGUGAGGACCUGCUGUCCUAGGUUUUCACACCUAACUUGUUUGAUGUCAGCGCGAGUUGGAGAAGCAUCUGCUGUUUUUCAGCUUUCUGGAGGGGUUUGUGGAAGACUGGUGUUAUUUCUAUCUCAAAUAUUUAGUAAAGGUCAUUUGUGAAUCCAUCUGGGCUGGAGUUUUGUUUUUGUAUUUUUUAGCGUGGGAUACUUUCCUCUAUGAUCUUUUACCUUAAAAUUUUUCAAACACACAGAAGAGUGAACAUCCAUAGGACCCACUACGUACACUCUAAUU
Molecule: long non-coding RNA, 1167 nt
Filed under: Pan troglodytes (chimpanzee)
Lineage: Eukaryota; Metazoa; Chordata; Mammalia; Primates; Hominidae
Description: long non-coding RNA NONPTRT017547
Source: RNAcentral